Molecule: non-coding RNA, 1167 nt
Organism: Cinara cedri
Lineage: Eukaryota; Metazoa; Arthropoda; Insecta; Hemiptera; Aphididae
Source: the annotation of a GenBank genome assembly
AAUACGAGUUGAAAAGUUACGCACAGGAAAUUGGUAUUGAAACCAUAUCAUAAUAGCCGCCACUGCAUUUUGUAAAAUGAAUAAUAUGAUAGGUAUGUUUUAUUGGUAAAACACGAUUUAACCGUCUAAAGCAAUACACAGCUUACAUUAAAAACACGGAGAGAAAAUACAUCAAAAAGGUAAGUGAAAAUAUGAUAUUUCAUAAUUAUUAUAUAAGUAUACUUAAAUAAUUUUAAACGUUACAAUGUUACUAAUACCCCGUGUCACAGUUUAAAGAUAAACUGUAAAACUGUUCUAAAAAUGUACCAGAUCCAUAUCUGGUACACAACACUAAGGCCGUCCAGUGCGUGACCAUCAGUACGAUUCGGCCGCAUUUUGUACAAAUUGAAUACUUAAUUUUAAAAAAAUCUACAAUUAAGUUAGAAAUAUUGAAAAAGUUAAUUGCAUUUCGACACAUUUGUCUAAAUGAUUUAGUUAUUUAUCUCGGAUUAUAUUAUUUCCAAUUUAUUUGAAUAAGAUAGAAAAAAAAUCAAAACAUGAAAUACUGCCACUGUACAAAAUACACUUGGGUAUAUUUUACAUAUACGGUAUUUUUAUGUAGACAAAUAAAACCAUAAUAUUGUACAUAAAAUAAUAUUUUGUAUUAUUAAAAAAAAACGCGUUCAAUUUAAUGUUGCAAUAUUCUGGCAUACAAAUUGACGAUGCAUCAAGCUACAGUUACUGCAAAAGACUAUAACAGAUAAUUUGAAAAAAAAGUAUUAAAUUAAUUUCUUGUCUUUCCUUGUUAGAUUCGAAAUAUAAACUGUCAUUAUUAUUUAAUAAUAUAAUGGCAGUCUAAAAUUGAUUAUCAGCGGAAUAUUAAUCUGUAGGUUGUCUGUGAAAUUUAUGCGAGUUGACGAACGAUUUGUACGUAUUUUUCAGAUUUGACAAAAAAUAAAAGGAAAAAGAGUUAACACAUUAUGAUAUUCAGUAAAAGCUCUCUAAAACGGGCACUCUUAAAACAGAAUCCUCCUUAUAACGGAAUAUAUCAAUAAUCCGAGUUCAAAUGUUUCAAACAUUUCAACUUUUUUAUAUUUGUAAACUUACUAUAACGAACAAUUCGUUGGUCCCAAGCGAUUCCGUCGUAGAAAGGUUUUACUGUAUACUUAAACAAGGAGUUGCUACUCC